GACGAACGCUGGCGGCGUGCUUAACACAUGCAAGUCGAACGGAAAGGCCCUGCUUUUGUGGGGUGCUCGAGUGGCGAACGGGUGAGUAACACGUGAGUAACCUGCCCUUGACUUUGGGAUAACUUCAGGAAACUGGGGCUAAUACCGGAUAGGAGCUCCUGCUGCAUGGUGGGGGUUGGAAAGUUUCGGCGUUUGGGGAUGGACUCGCGGCUUAUCAGCUUGUUGGUGGGGUAGUGGCUUACCAAGGCUUUGACGGGUAGCCGGCCUGAGAGGGUGACCGGCCACAUUGGGACUGAGAUACGGCCCAGCCUCCUACGGGAGGCAGCAGUGGGGAAUAUUGCACAAUGGGCGGAAGCCUGAUGCAGCAACGCCGCGUGCGGGAUGACUGCCUUCGGGUUGUAAACCGCUUUCGCCUGUGACGAAGCGUGAGUGACGGUAAUGGGUAAAGAAGCACCGGCUAACUACGUG
This 468-nucleotide ribosomal RNA is filed under the name uncultured bacterium. Its description in RNAcentral is "partial 16S ribosomal RNA". It matches the Rfam family "Bacterial small subunit ribosomal RNA", at positions 28 to 507 of the family's 1533-position model. The record is from RNAcentral.